This 65-nucleotide non-coding RNA is filed under the name Arenibacter nanhaiticus. RNAcentral's name for it is "Fluoride sequence". It matches the Rfam family "Fluoride riboswitch aptamer (crcB RNA motif)". The record is from Rfam by way of RNAcentral. Lineage: Bacteria; Pseudomonadati; Bacteroidota; Flavobacteriia; Flavobacteriales; Flavobacteriaceae.
GCUACAAUUGGCAAUGAUGUCUGCCUUAAACCGUUCCUAAUGGAGCUAAUGACUUCUACUUUUAA